This 1006-nucleotide long non-coding RNA is filed under the name Homo sapiens (human). RNAcentral's name for it is "HSALNT0222578". The record is from RNAcentral. Lineage: Eukaryota; Metazoa; Chordata; Mammalia; Primates; Hominidae.
UGGGCCUGCGCCGCCUCGGGACCGGGGUCAGGGAGCUCCUGCCUGCCUGGAUGAAGAGGAGGUCAAGACUUUGUCCCCCACUCCGCAAGAUACCCUCUCUGUUCCGGAGCGGUGGGUCCCUCCCCUGUUAGGACCUUGUCUCCCUCAGGACUGGACCUGGAUCCUGGGCCUGCAGUCAGAUUGCCAGUUUCACUUAGAGGUGGAAAUGUCAACCCACUGGUUGGAAUGGGAAGAGACUGGGUCCCACCAUAUUGCCUGGGCUGGCCUCGGACUCUUGACCCCAAGUGAUCCUCUGGCCUCAGCCUCCCAAGCAGCUGGAUUUACAGGCAGGCACCACCGCACCGAGCUAAAAACGCCUGGCUUCCCUGGGCCUGCUGCACCUGCUCUGGCUAGGUUGGAGAGGGCUGCAGGGAGGACCGCAGUCAGCAGAGGGCGCCAAAGCCUCUCAACACAAGCAUGGCCCAGGCCUGGCCCAGAAGGAGAGCGCUGAGAGCCAGGACUGGCGGGCUACGUGCGCCCUGUGGAUUCCCCCAUUUCCCAUGCUUCAUCCAGCCAUGGGCCUGCAGUGCACUCACAAAUGUGCAUAUACCCUCCUGUGUGUGUGUUACACUCAUCAAAUUGUCUCUGAAUUUGCUUGGCUUCAUGUGUUCCUGUGUGUGUUUAUGUGUGUGUGUGGUGUGUCUGGUGUAUCUGGUUCCCCAGGAAGCACAUUUGACAGCCCCACAGUCAGGGUCAGGGCACAGGGACAGAUACUGUGUCUAUAACAAUCCAUAACACUGAUUUUGUUCAUCUCAAUAAAUGUGAGAAUGAAAUAAAAAUUAAUGUAGAAUAUUUUGUACAUCUCAAUAAAGCCACUUUCUGGGGGCAGGCAUUAUAAUUCUAGCCUCUGUUCUACUGUUUGAUAGGUAAAGAAUAACUUUCCACAUAGGGAGAGGAAUGGACAGCUACCCAGCCCUCCCACUGUUACAGGCCUGGGCUAGAAGCUUUCCAUCUAGGCUCCUGGUUG